Molecule: small nuclear RNA, 107 nt
Organism: Otolemur garnettii (small-eared galago)
Lineage: Eukaryota; Metazoa; Chordata; Mammalia; Primates; Galagidae
Source: Ensembl
GUGCUCACUUUGGCAGCACAUGUACUAAAAUUGGAAUGAUACAGAGAAGGUUAACGUAGCCCCUGCGUAAGGAUGACAUGCAAAUUCGUGAAGCAUUCCAUAUUUUU